This 468-nucleotide ribosomal RNA is filed under the name uncultured bacterium. RNAcentral's name for it is "bacterial SSU rRNA". It matches the Rfam family "Bacterial small subunit ribosomal RNA", at positions 329 to 792 of the family's 1533-position model. The record is from RNAcentral.
UUCCAGACUCCUACGGGAGGCAGCAGUGAGGAAUAUUGGUCAAUGGACGCAAGUCUGAACCAGCCAAGUAGCGUGCAGGAUGACGGCCCUCCGGGUUGUAAACUGCUUUUAGUUGGGAAUAAAAGGGGGCUCGUGAGCCCCGUAUUGUAUGUACCAUCAGAAAAAGGACCGGCUAACUCCGUGCCAGCAGCCGCGGUAAUACGGAGGGUGCGAGCGUUAAUCGGAAUUACUGGGCGUAAAGCGCUCGUAGGCGGUAUGUCAAGUCAAGGGUGAAAUCCCCGCGCUCAACGUGGGAACUGCCUUUGAAACUGGCAAACUGGAGUGUGUGAGAGGAUAGUGGAAUUCCAGGUGUAGGAGUGAAAUCCGUAGAUAUCUGGAGGAACAUCAGUGGCGAAGGCGACUAUCUGGCACAUAACUGACGCUGAGGAGCGAAAGCGUGGGUAGCAAACAGGAUUAGAUACCCGGGUA